GAGAACGAAAGAAGUUUUCGCACCUCCACCAGCAAGAACGAAAGGAAGUCGUUCCUCCAUGGAAGCACCAGAGAAAAAGAAAGCAACCAGAAAAAGGAAUUUACUUAGGGUUCCAUGGAGCACCACUUAUGAGCGGUGAAGAGCGUUGUCGCUGCGGCGUGAACGCGAGACCAAAUGUGCGAGUGAAAGGGUUUUGCCAUUGCCUACGCUUGCACGAGCUGUACCGAGGAAAAGAAGAAGCUUCUCAAGUUGGUUCUCCCAUGCAUCAUAGUAGAAGAAGGAAAUCCAGAAAAUUGGGAAUUUUCUUAGGGUUAAAAAAAAGGUGAAAUUUCCCAAAUUUAGGGUUUCAAAAGGAUUUUAAUUAUGAUAAAAAAUCAAGAAUGGUGGCAGAAACCAUAUGCGAUACAAAGAUAACUAAUUUAGGGUUCUCUGCAAAUUUUUAAUAGGGUCCUAAGAGGAUUCUAAUUUAGGAAAG
Molecule: long non-coding RNA, 475 nt
Filed under: Vigna radiata
Lineage: Eukaryota; Viridiplantae; Streptophyta; Magnoliopsida; Fabales; Fabaceae
Description: long non-coding RNA (VRAD_LNC007931)
Source: RNAcentral